GGCAGAAACCAAAUACUCCGAGGUACAAACGUGGGAGAGGCCACAUCUAACUGCGGGGAUCUGAGCACGGAAUGGAAUGCGGGCCACGAUCCCAGGUCCAGAAGUGAUGAAGCAAGACUCACGUUCUGGGAAGAGUGAGAACACGCAGUCCGAUCCGGCUGAAGCCAAAAUGGGAGCAGUGGAUCGGGGCUGUCCGUGGAACCACCACUCCAGUCUCUGGAACGUCCACAGUCAAGACCAGGAAGAUCAGUGCAGAGGACAAGCAGCAUUCCUGACAGUGGAGGUGGCUCUGCCCUGCACCUGCACAAAAAGAAGCCAUUUAUAACUCAGCGGCAGCUCCAUCAAGUCCAAGACCCAGCGCUCAGCCAUGCAAAUUCUCUUCCAAAGAGACUUCAUUAACAUGCAUCAUUGCCAAAAGAAGUCCAUAAAGUAGUGAAUAAAAGAAUACUGGGCACAUCCCUUCUG
Non-coding RNA from Oryctolagus cuniculus (rabbit), 465 nucleotides. NCBI's taxonomy places the organism in Eukaryota, Metazoa, Chordata, Mammalia, Lagomorpha, Leporidae. The record is from RefSeq and is a predicted model, not a curated record.